UUAAGCGACUAAGCGUACACGGUGGAUGCCCUGGCAGUCAGAGGCGAUGAAGGACGUGCUAAUCUGCGAUAAGCGUCGGUAAGGUGAUAUGAACCGUUAUAACCGGCGAUUUCCGAAUGGGGAAACCCAGUGUGUUUCGACACACUAUCAUUAACUGAAUCCAUAGGUUAAUGAGGCGAACCGGGGGAACUGAAACAUCUAAGUACCCCGAGGAAAAGAAAUCAACCGAGAUUCCCCCAGUAGCGGCGAGCGAACGGGGAGCAGCCCAGAGCCUGAAUCAGUGUGUGUGUUAGUGGAAGCGUCUGGAAAGGCGCGCGAUACAGGGUGACAGCCCCGUACACAAAAAUGCACAUACUGUGAGCUCGAUGAGUAGGGCGGGACACGUGGUAUCCUGUCUGAAUAUGGGGGGACCAUCCUCCAAGGCUAAAUACUCCUGACUGACCGAUAGUGAACCAGUACCGUGAGGGAAAGGCGAAAAGAACCCCGGCGAGGGGAGUGAAAAAGAACCUGAAACCGUGUACGUACAAGCAGUGGGAGCCUCUUUUAUGGGGUGACUGCGUACCUUUUGUAUAAUGGGUCAGCGACUUAUAUUCUGUAGCAAGGUUAACCGAAUAGGGGAGCCGAAGGGAAACCGAGUCUUAACUGGGCGUUAAGUUGCAGGGUAUAGACCCGAAACCCGGUGAUCUAGCCAUGGGCAGGUUGAAGGUUGGGUAACACUAACUGGAGGACCGAACCGACUAAUGUUGAAAAAUUAGCGGAUGACUUGUGGCUGGGGGUGAAAGGCCAAUCAAACCGGGAGAUAGCUGGUUCUCCCCGAAAGCUAUUUAGGUAGCGCCUCGUGAAUUCAUCUCCGGGGGUAGAGCACUGUUUCGGCAAGGGGGUCAUCCCGACUUACCAACCCGAUGCAAACUGCGAAUACCGGAGAAUGUUAUCACGGGAGACACACGGCGGGUGCUAACGUCCGUCGUGAAGAGGGAAACAACCCAGACCGCCAGCUAAGGUCCCAAAGUCAUGGUUAAGUGGGAAACGAUGUGGGAAGGCCCAGACAGCCAGGAUGUUGGCUUAGAAGCAGCCAUCAUUUAAAGAAAGCGUAAUAGCUCACUGGUCGAGUCGGCCUGCGCGGAAGAUGUAACGGGGCUAAACCAUGCACCGAAGCUGCGGCAGCGACGCUUAUGCGUUGUUGGGUAGGGGAGCGUUCUGUAAGCCUGUGAAGGUGUGCUGUGAGGCAUGCUGGAGGUAUCAGAAGUGCGAAUGCUGACAUAAGUAACGAUAAAGCGGGUGAAAAGCCCGCUCGCCGGAAGACCAAGGGUUCCUGUCCAACGUUAAUCGGGGCAGGGUGAGUCGACCCCUAAGGCGAGGCCGAAAGGCGUAGUCGAUGGGAAACAGGUUAAUAUUCCUGUACUUGGUGUUACUGCGAAGGGGGGACGGAGAAGGCUAUGUUGGCCGGGCGACGGUUGUCCCGGUUUAAGCGUGUAGGCUGGUUUUCCAGGCAAAUCCGGAAAAUCAAGGCUGAGGCGUGAUGACGAGGCACUACGGUGCUGAAGCAACAAAUGCCCUGCUUCCAGGAAAAGCCUCUAAGCAUCAGGUAACAUCAAAUCGUACCCCAAACCGACACAGGUGGUCAGGUAGAGAAUACCAAGGCGCUUGAGAGAACUCGGGUGAAGGAACUAGGCAAAAUGGUGCCGUAACUUCGGGAGAAGGCACGCUGAUAUGUAGGUGAAGCGACUUGCUCGUGGAGCUGAAAUCAGUCGAAGAUACCAGCUGGCUGCAACUGUUUAUUAAAAACACAGCACUGUGCAAACACGAAAGUGGACGUAUACGGUGUGACGCCUGCCCGGUGCCGGAAGGUUAAUUGAUGGGGUCAGCGCAAGCGAAGCUCUUGAUCGAAGCCCCGGUAAACGGCGGCCGUAACUAUAACGGUCCUAAGGUAGCGAAAUUCCUUGUCGGGUAAGUUCCGACCUGCACGAAUGGCGUAAUGAUGGCCAGGCUGUCUCCACCCGAGACUCAGUGAAAUUGAACUCGCUGUGAAGAUGCAGUGUACCCGCGGCAAGACGGAAAGACCCCGUGAACCUUUACUAUAGCUUGACACUGAACAUUGAGCCUUGAUGUGUAGGAUAGGUGGGAGGCUUAGAAGUGUGGACGCCAGUCUGCAUGGAGCCGACCUUGAAAUACCACCCUUUAAUGUUUGAUGUUCUAACGUUGACCCGUAAUCCGGGUUGCGGACAGUGUCUGGUGGGUAGUUUGACUGGGGCGGUCUCCUCCUAAAGAGUAACGGAGGAGCACGAAGGUUGGCUAAUCCUGGUCGGACAUCAGGAGGUUAGUGCAAUGGCAUAAGCCAGCUUGACUGCGAGCGUGACGGCGCGAGCAGGUGCGAAAGCAGGUCAUAGUGAUCCGGUGGUUCUGAAUGGAAGGGCCAUCGCUCAACGGAUAAAAGGUACUCCGGGGAUAACAGGCUGAUACCGCCCAAGAGUUCAUAUCGACGGCGGUGUUUGGCACCUCGAUGUCGGCUCAUCACAUCCUGGGGCUGAAGUAGGUCCCAAGGGUAUGGCUGUUCGCCAUUUAAAGUGGUACGCGAGCUGGGUUUAGAACGUCGUGAGACAGUUCGGUCCCUAUCUGCCGUGGGCGCUGGAGAACUGAGGGGGGCUGCUCCUAGUACGAGAGGACCGGAGUGGACGCAUCACUGGUGUUCGGGUUGUCAUGCCAAUGGCACUGCCCGGUAGCUAAAUGCGGAAGAGAUAAGUGCUGAAAGCAUCUAAGCACGAAACUUGCCCCGAGAUGAGUUCUCCCUGACCCUUUAAGGGUCCUGAAGGAACGUUGAAGACGACGACGUUGAUAGGCCGGGUGUGUAAGCGCAGCGAUGCGUUGAGCUAACCGGUACUAAUGAACCGUGAGGCUUAACCUU
This 2902-nucleotide ribosomal RNA is filed under the name Escherichia coli. Its description in RNAcentral is "bacterial LSU rRNA". It matches the Rfam family "Bacterial large subunit ribosomal RNA". The record is from RNAcentral. Lineage: Bacteria; Pseudomonadati; Pseudomonadota; Gammaproteobacteria; Enterobacterales; Enterobacteriaceae.